This 580-nucleotide ribosomal RNA is filed under the name Bacillus subtilis. RNAcentral's name for it is "bacterial SSU rRNA". It matches the Rfam family "Bacterial small subunit ribosomal RNA", at positions 333 to 898 of the family's 1533-position model. Lineage: Bacteria; Bacillati; Bacillota; Bacilli; Caryophanales; Bacillaceae. The record is from RNAcentral.
AGACUCCUACGGGAGGCAGCAGUAGGGAAUCUUCCGCAAUGGACGAAAGUCUGACGGAGCAACGCCGCGUGAGUGAUGAAGGUUUUCGGAUCGUAAAGCUCUGUUGUUAGGGAAGAACAAGUGCCGUUCAAAUAGGGCGGCACCUUGACGGUACCUAACCAGAAAGCCACGGCUAACUACGUGCCAGCAGCCGCGGUAAUACGUAGGUGGCAAGCGUUGUCCGGAAUUAUUGGGCGUAAAGGGCUCGCAGGCGGUUUCUUAAGUCUGAUGUGAAAGCCCCCGGCUCAACCGGGGAGGGUCAUUGGAAACUGGGGAACUUGAGUGCAGAAGAGGAGAGUGGAAUUCCACGUGUAGCGGUGAAAUGCGUAGAGAUGUGGAGGAACACCAGUGGCGAAGGCGACUCUCUGGUCUGUAACUGACGCUGAGGAGCGAAAGCGUGGGGAGCGAACAGGAUUAGAUACCCUGGUAGUCCACGCCGUAAACGAUGAGUGCUAAGUGUUAGGGGGUUUCCCGCCCCCUUAGUGCUGCAGCUAACGCAUUAAGCACUCCCGCCUGGGGGAGGUACGGUCGCAGAACUGAA